UACAGGGGGGGCAAGCGUUGUUCGGAAUUACUGGGCGUAAAGGGCUCGUAGGUGGCCAACUAAGUCGGACGUGAAAUCCCUCAGCUUAACUGGGGAACUGCGUCCGAUACUGGAUGGCUUGAGUUUGGGAGAGGGAUGCGGAAUUCCAGGUGUAGCGGUGAAAUGCGUAGAUAUCUGGAGGAACACCGGUGGCGAAGGCGGCAUCCUGGACCAACACCGACACUGAGGAGCGAAAGCCAGGGGAGCAAACGGG
This 253-nucleotide ribosomal RNA is filed under the name uncultured bacterium. Its description in RNAcentral is "partial 16S ribosomal RNA". It matches the Rfam family "Bacterial small subunit ribosomal RNA", at positions 524 to 776 of the family's 1533-position model. The record is from RNAcentral.